GACGAACGCUGGCGGCGUGCUUAACACAUGCAAGUCGAACGGAAAGGCCCUGCUUUUGUGGGGUGCUCGAGUGGCGAACGGGUGAGUAACACGUGAGUAACCUGCCCUUGACUUUGGGAUAACUUCAGGAAACUGGGGCUAAUACCGGAUAGGAGCUCCUGCUGCAUGGUGGGGGUUGGAAAGUUUCGGCGGUUGGGGAUGGACUCGCGGCUUAUCAGCUUGUUGGUGGGGUAGUGGCUUACCAAGGCUUUGACGGGUAGCCGGCCUGAGAGGGUGACCGGCCAAAUUGGGACUGAGAUACGGCCCAGACUCCUACGGGAGGCAGCAGUGGGGAAUAUUGCACAAUGGGCGGAAGCCUGAUGCAGCAAAGCCGCGUGCGGGAUGACGGCCUUCGGGUUGUAAACCGCUUUCGCCUGUGACGAAGCGUGAGUGACGGUAAUGGGUAAAGAAGCACCGGCUAACUACGUG
This 468-nucleotide ribosomal RNA is filed under the name uncultured bacterium. Its description in RNAcentral is "partial 16S ribosomal RNA". It matches the Rfam family "Bacterial small subunit ribosomal RNA", at positions 28 to 507 of the family's 1533-position model. The record is from RNAcentral.